CAGCAACUUCUACAAUCAUCACUGGAGAGAUGCUUUCCCAGCCACAUAGGCAGCGUUAAUUCCAGGCGAUGCCGACCUGCUUAGGGCAACGAGAUGACGAAAAGACUCAGAAUGGAUGGAAGUUGUUUAUAAAUUCUCCUCUGCUGCAUACUGUUAAGAAGGGGAAAGAGGAGUGCUGGACUCACCCUGAAUUCUUAUCUUGCGCGAGAUCCAAGAACUGUCUCUUGGGGUCUGUGCUGGGACUGCUUUCCUGUAACAUAUUUCUGGCGUCCACAGAAGGGACUAUAGUGAGGAAACCACUGACUUUGGGUAAGUGGUGGGGUCUUGUAA
Molecule: long non-coding RNA, 330 nt
Filed under: Gorilla gorilla gorilla (western lowland gorilla)
Lineage: Eukaryota; Metazoa; Chordata; Mammalia; Primates; Hominidae
Description: lncRNA (ENSGGOG00000044413.1)
Source: RNAcentral